UACGUAGGGUGCAAGCGUUGUCCGGAAUUAUUGGGCGUAAAGAGCUCGUAGGCGGUCUGUCGCGUCUGCUGUGAAAACUCGGGGCUUAACCCCGAGCCUGCAGUGGAUACGGGCAGACUAGAGGUAGGUAGGGGAGAAUGGAAUUCCCGGUGUAGCGGUGAAAUGCGCAGAUAUCGGGGAGGAACACCGGUGGCGAAGGCGGUUCUCUGGACAGUUACUGACACUGAGGCACGAAGGCCAGGGGAGCAAACGGG
RNAcentral lists this ribosomal RNA (254 nucleotides) under uncultured bacterium. RNAcentral describes it as "partial 16S ribosomal RNA". It matches the Rfam family "Bacterial small subunit ribosomal RNA", at positions 524 to 776 of the family's 1533-position model. The record is from RNAcentral.